GCAGGAGUGGCGGAAUUGGCAGACGCGCAGGCUUCAGGUGCCUGUGGUCGUUAAGACCGUGUGGGUUCAAGUCCCAUCUCCUGCACUA
This 88-nucleotide transfer RNA is filed under the name Lachnospiraceae bacterium OF09-6. Its description in RNAcentral is "tRNA-Leu". It matches the Rfam family "tRNA". From Rfam's summary of the family: Transfer RNA (tRNA) molecules are approximately 80 nucleotides in length. The record is from RNAcentral. Lineage: Bacteria; Bacillati; Bacillota; Clostridia; Lachnospirales; Lachnospiraceae.